CAUUGACGGUUGGUAUGUGUAAAUAGACAUCUCUACUGAAUUACGUGUUAUCUUGAAGCAAACGACGAUCUUGAAGCAAACGACGACGUCGCAUUCUUGCUUUAGAUCUCGUAUUUCAUAUUCCAUUUUUGGGCUCAUUCUUUCUUAUAUAUUCCCGCCCUGUCCCUAUUUCCCUCCAGUUCGAUUCUAUAUGCGUGAAUAUAUGCACUUCAUAGGUGCUUAUUCAAGGUGCUUAUUCAGUCGAUCUAUGAGAAUUCUUUAGAUUCACAUUUUUUGGAUCGUUGAUUUAUUGGAUUUGAGGUUAUGGCGGUGGCCCCCGGACCUGUGACCCCUGGACAGUAUACAUACGGUGAAACCUUUUCUUUUCAUGCCCAGGUGUCAUUUCUGCUUGGAAUCAUUCCAGUCAUUGUUGCGUGGAUUUACUCUGAGUGGUUGGAAUAUAAGAAGUCACCAUCCCCGUCUAAAGUUCAUUCAGAUAAUAAUUUGGAUGAGAUGGAGAAUGAAGCAAUCAAAAAAGAUGAUAGGACAGUGUUGUUAGAAGGAGGUCUUGUAAAAUCAGCAUCUGCGAAGUUGUCCACUCCAUCCGUUAAAACCAACUUAAUUAGGUUUCUUACAAUGGAGGACUCAUUUUUACUCGAAAAUCGAGCACUAUUAAGAGCUAUGUCCGAAAUAGGGGUUAUUCUGUUCUAUUUCUACACAUGUGACCGUACAAAUUUUUUUGAAGAUUCCACCAAGAGCUACAAUCGUGAUCUUUUCCUUUUCCUAUACAUUCUUCUUAUCAUAGCUUCAGCAAUGACUUCUCUCAAGAAACACAAUGACAAGUCAGCCUUUUCUGGAAAAGCCAUAUUGUAUCUUAAUCGCCAUCAGACAGAAGAGUGGAAAGGAUGGAUGCAGGUUCUAUUUUUGAUGUAUCAUUACUUUGCUGCAACUGAGAUGUACAAUGCAAUUCGUAUUUUUAUUGCUGCAUAUGUCUGGAUGACUGGUUUUGGAAAUUUCUCCUAUUAUUACAUCAGGAAGGAUUUUAGUCUUGCUCGAUUUACUCAGAUGAUGUGGAGGCUUAACUUUUUUGUGGCCUUCUGUUGUAUUGUUCUUAACAAUGACUACAUGCUGUACUAUAUCUGCCCAAUGCACACGCUCUUCACACUCAUGGUGUACGGGGCCCUUGGUAUUGGCCACAACUAUAACGAGAUAAAAUCAGUGAUGGCUUUGAAAUUUUUUAUGUGCUUUAUUGUGGUUAUCUUGAUAUGGGAAAUCCCUGGAGUCUUUGAACUUGUCUGGAGUCCUUUCACAUUUUUCUUAGGGUAUACUGAUCCCGCAAAGCCAGAUAUUCCUCGACUGCAUGAAUGGCAUUUUAGAUCUGGGCUUGAUCGUUACAUAUGGAUCAUAGGAAUGAUCUAUGCCUAUUUCCACCCCACAGUUGAAAAGUGGAUGGAGAAACUGGAGGAGUCUGAAACCAAGCGUAGGCGCACAAUCAAAACAUCCAUUGUUGCGGUUGCCUUGAUUGUUGGCUAUUUGUGGUACGAAGGUAUAUACAAGAUGGACAAGGUUACAUACAACAAGUUUCAUCCCUACACAUCAUGGAUACCCAUUACCGUUUAUAUUUGUUUGAGGAAUUUUAGUCAGCAUAUCAGGAAUUUUUCUUUGACCCUUUUCGCGUGGCUUGGCAAAGUUACUUUGGAAACAUAUAUUUCCCAGUUCCACAUCUGGUUGAGAUCAAAUAUGCCUAAUGGACAACCCAAAUGGCUACUCUCUUUCAUCCCAGAGUAUCCUCUGCUCAAUUUCAUGCUCACGACUUCCAUUUACAUCUUGAUAUCAUAUCGGAUUUUUGAACUGACCAACACGUUGAAGUCAGCUUUCAUACCCACUAGAGACAAUCGAAAACUACUUAACAAUUUUGUUGCCGGAGCAGCCAUUUCUGCAUGUUUAUAUUGCAUUUCGUUCAUUCUUCUUCAGAUUCCUUAUUAAUCAGGAUGGAAUAUCAGAAGUGAUAGUCGUCGGUAAAAAUAUUUCUUGAUGGACAUAAGAGUGGAAUAUACGUGGACAAUAUAGGACAGGAUGGUCUUGCUUUCAGACAUAAGUUCGUGUGGCUAAUGUUUCAAACAAUUUUGUGGAAUACCCCUUACAAUUCCUGCAAUUCAGUCACAGAAUGUGUCCAGAUUUUGACAGAGAAAAAGAAUAGUCACAUAAGAGGGUAACAUUUGUGUCCAAGCUUUGCUUGAAUAUUCUUGAGGAGUGGCGGCCUUCUCCCCUGGUUCGCCACCCUGCUAAAACAUUUUUUGUUAUAUAUAAAGUGAGUCAUUAGUUAAUUUUCUGGAACCUGGGUCACUUGUUCUCACAGCAUUUCAUUUGUAGAAUUUACAAGGUUCAAUCAAGAUAUAUACAUAAGUGUUAAGGUUUAA
Olea europaea var. sylvestris is the source of this 2399-nucleotide RNA transcript. It is a transcript of the gene named protein REDUCED WALL ACETYLATION 3-like, with no coding region annotated. NCBI's taxonomy places the organism in Eukaryota, Viridiplantae, Streptophyta, Magnoliopsida, Lamiales, Oleaceae. The record is from RefSeq and is a predicted model, not a curated record. The transcript is spliced from 17 exons.